UAAAUCCUCUUUUUUUUUUUUUUAGU
Molecule: transfer RNA, 26 nt
Filed under: Inga umbratica
Lineage: Eukaryota; Viridiplantae; Streptophyta; Magnoliopsida; Fabales; Fabaceae
Description: partial tRNA-Leu
Source: RNAcentral